UGAUUGGGUGGUUCUGGCCAGCUCGGGUGUCGCGUUCUCGUGGCGUGCGGAGGGCGGGGUCUGCGGGCCGUGCCGGGAGAGCAGGCCGGCGGCGUUCGUGGGUACCGAGCGGAGUGUAGGCGCUGAGGCCGGAAGCGGCCCUGCUCCGAGAGGCAUCGGUAGCCGCUCUGGCCCGGCUCGCGGGAAGCCCGGUCGACAGGAGGGACAGGCAAGGGCCCCGCUGCCUCCCUGCGUGUGUGAGGUCCCCCCACAGCGGCCGGGGAGCCACUCAUUACUCGUCGCUCUCGAGGGACACAGCGAUGACUGAGACAGCCUCCACGCCGCCCUCAGAGCACAGCCCGGGCGGAGACCCUCGCCAGACAGGCUGUGGGGCCCAGAGGGAGCGCCUGACACGAUUCAAGGAUCCAAUCCAAGAUGCUACGCUGCGUUUAUUCAUCACGUCUCCUUGGUCUCCUCCAACCUGUGACAGUUCCCCGGUCUCUCCUUGUUUUUCAUGCCCGUGACAGUUUGAGGAGUACCGGUCAGGUGUUUUCUAGAAUGUCCCUCAGUCUGAUCUGUCUGACGUUUUCCUCGCGGUUAGAUCGGGAUCAUAGGUGUGAGGAGGAGGACCCCUCAGCUGGUGUUGACCUGGCUCCCUUCAUUCCGGUGGCGUCUUCUGGGUUCCUCGGCUGGAGCGUCACUGUUUUUCCCUCUCUUUACUCUGUCACGAAAUCCAGCCCACACUCGGAGGGAGGAGAAUUAAGCUCCAGCUCCUGGAGGGAAAAAUACCAAAGAAUUUGUCUGCAUGUGUUAAGACCACCACAGUAACUAAUAAACAUGGGAAGAUACGUGGCAGCCGUGCAAAGGCCGUGCUGUUCUCAGUUCCACAGCUCGUUUUAGCGUUCGUCCACGGCAGUUACUACUGUGGUGUUCCAGUGGCGAUUUCCUAUUUCCUUCACUUCUUCUGCAGUUGUUAUUUGGGAUUCUUCUGUAGGAAGAUUUGUCCCCACUACCUUGUUUAUUUUCUUUGUACAGUCGUUAAUUUAUAUCAGUCUGGACUCACGGAUGUUUGUUUUAUUCUUUGGGUGUAACCCAAGAAUAUCGCAAUUAAUUUUUUCAGUCAGAUUGUUCCAGUUUGGGCCAUGGGGCUCUUUCAGGUUUCCUCCUGUGUUUUGUUUUUUUUUUUUCUUCCUCCCUUGAGCACCUCCUUACCUCCUGGCGCUGUGAGAUGCUCCAGACUUGUCUUGUGUUUUCCCUGCUCCGGCCCUGGGAUCGCCAUUUCUCCAGGGGGCCCUGGUUCCUUCUGUUGGAGGUGGACUGAGACACCUAGGUCUGGGCACUGAGCGUGGUCAUUGCUGCUGGGCUGUCACUGUUUCUAGUCCCCGUCAGCUGACAGAGCUGGCAAAUACAUGUCUUUGUACAAACCCAGUAUACCCAUGUCUAUACUCUGUAUGUGGAUAGAUACAGACAUCUGUGCAUGAAGAGAAACGUGAGUCUGUACUGAUAGCUCUGACCAGCCCGAGGGUUGGUCCUCGCCUCUCCCUGGCUUACUUAGUGACUUCCUUCUCCGACCGUGAGAAGCCUGGCUCUGUGGUCACUAUUCGUGUCUGUCUUGUGGGCCCCCUUGGCAGACGCUAGCAGCGCUGGCCGUUCCCGCCUUCUAUAAGGACACUCUCCCCUCCGUUUCUGUGAUGAUGCUGGCCCCUGAGCUUUCUCCUCUGUCUUGCUUCUUUGCAGGAAGUUCCUGUUUUCACGGAUCCCUUAAAUGUGGGGGCUCUUCUGUCCUCCCCCCUGGGCCAUCUUACACUCUUUUAUGGUCUCUUUCCUGUCUCUGUGCUGAUGGCACCCACUCUCUGCCCUCAGUUCUGACCUGUUCCCUGAGCCCCAGACCUGGGGGUCCUGAGGCCUCACGAAGCCCCCUCCUGCCCUCAGCCCUGGAUGAUCCCUGCGCCCCGAACACUCACCUUGUCCCAAAUUGCAAACCUGCUCCUCCUCUCGGCCCCUGUCUCAGGAGUGGCCCCUCCGUACCCCAGGCUCACGAGAGAGCCCCGAGCCCGUCUUUGAUGCCUCGCUCCCCACCCCGGCCACCAGCUCCACCCGUCAGUCUCCCUAGCUUGUCCACCAGGACUCCUGGCUGUCUCCCCCAUCUGCCCCCUUCUCGCCUUUCAUGGCCCUGCCUUGGUCCACCCUGUCCUCUCCCACCUUGUCUCUGCCUGACCUCCUCCCGGGCCCUGGCCUCCCGUCUCUCUGUAACCCACCUCCACUUGGCCCUUAGAGGGACUUUUGUGGAACGCAGAUCUGAUCAAGUCCUCCUGCCUGGAGCUUUCCCGUGUUUCUCCAGUGUCCUCAGGACAAGGUCCUAACUCCUUAACCCAAGGCUUGGUGCCACUGGCCCCUGACCAUCACCUCGGCCUGUGUCCUGACUGCCUAAGCUUCAGACACUGAACUUCUUGUUUCCUUGAACGUGACCCGUGCACCACCCGGGCCUCCGCGUGGACCCUGCGCCAGCAACCCUCAGCCCUGCCGGCCCUGCCCGGUCCGCGCCCACCCACUUUCUCCCCGCUCACAUUGUUUUGAGACAGUCCCAGACAUCAUCCUCUGUAGGGAUGGCGAGUAAAUGUCAGCAGUGGGCAUUUCUGAGUGUAGGAAGCAGGAGGGGAGCUUUACUGUUAAAAAAUGUUUGCAGGGAACAUGUUUUCAUCGCACAGUAAUGUGACACCAGUAGCUGUUGUGGGGGAAGAAGUUAACUAAACAAGAAACAGUCACAUCAUCUUUGAGUUUAAGAGGAAAAGACUUUCAGGAAUCAUCUUAUCUCUUUCAAGAUUCCAGAGCAGCAAGCAGAGAGUAGAGAUGUGUUUCUCUGGGCGUGGUGACCGCGACGCCACAGUGACCUUUAAGGGGUGCCUGUAAGCUUCCUUUUAAAUCACGCCAACUGAGGGAAUUUUCUACCGUUAAUUUUCACAGUUUUUGUAAACAUGACUCGUGAUUUAUCUAAAUGGUAUCUUACAAGCGUUAGGAACAACUAAAUUACAUAGAAGGACUUCAUCCGUGUGAAGGAAGGUUCCUCCGGUACAUUGGUGUUGGGAGAAUUCUUGGCUUCUACUCUGAUACGAGUGGCUACCGGGACGGUGAAUUCCGUGGAAAGGAGCCGUGAAUGCAUCCGUUUCGAGACCUUUUGCAGUUUUAAAUCUGACCAGCACGUGCUUUAAUAAUAAAUGGCAACAUUUACACGGCGCCACCUUCGCGCCAGGCACCUCGUCAGCUCUUGAUGUGCAUUGAUUCCGUGGUCCCCACCCAGCCCUCAGGACGGAGCUGCUGUCGUCGUGCCAGGUGGUCUGUGCGGCAUUCAGAACUGAAGGCCCUUCCCCCAGGUUCCAUCGCUAGACAGUGGCAGCACUGAGGCUUGAACCCGGGUCCUGGUUGCUUCUACUGUCUGUGCCUUCAAGCACCUUUCUCCUGGAUUCCAUUCUCAAAGGAGAUGCUCACGUUGCUGCUGGUGCAGUCGCUUCUUUUUGGAAGAAGGGCUUCAAUUACUUUUCUCUCCAGCUGCUAAAAAUCUUUUUUGACAUCCCCAAUUAUUUGUAAAGAAAAAGACUUUUAACUGCUUUUUUAGGGACAAUUUCCAACGUACACAAAAGCAGAGAGAAAAGUGUAAUGAACGCCCACGUCCCCAUCAUCCAGCUGCUACAGUCACUGUGAGGGGGCCAUUUCUGUGCCGUCCAUGUCCUGCACAUUUUUCUUCCCUGCUCAGUUAUUUUGAAGCGAAUCUAGAUACAUCUUUUUAAGACAUUUUCUUUUAAAGGAAAGGUAACCCACAAUUCCUUGCUCCGAGUCCUCCCUGAGCCUCUGUUCCCACUCCCCCAGUUUCCAGAAGCAGAGGGAUCUGUGCGUGUGGGACACCAUCCCCUGGCUCUCCCUGGCCCCUUUCCUGUAACCCCAUCCUCCAGGCCUUUCUCCCCGGCGCUCUGAAGCCUGAAAACGAUCCCUCUUCGUGACUGUGGCCAGCCUGGUGCCGCUUGGCAGCCCCGUCACCCGCAGCGGGACAUUUAAUCUGCAGUGGCUUCUUGCCAUGGUUGUAGCCUCUUCCCUUAUUUGGGUUCUUUUCUGGAUGCCCCCGCCACCCAAACCAGGUCAGGCCUCCUGUCCCACCAACUGCGCGCUGUAGCUUCCCCUCAGGCACGUUACGUGUAAGAGUCAAAACGAAACAGAGAUUUGUGUACUUAUCUAUCAGUUGCCCGGGAGCUCCAUGGGGCAGGAAUCAGGUCUGUCUUCAUCCCCGCCGUGUCCCCUGCGUCACCCAGCACAGGGCCCCACAUCAGCAGGUGCUCAGUCCCAGUGAGGCAUGAAUGAAUGAGUGUUUGCCAGAGUCAAUAGCUGGGCAUUUAUCAUGAAGGCAAUAGGAAGCGACAGAGGUGUUUUGGGCAGGACUGGACCCGUUGUUUUCAAACUGCCGUGUGUAUAGAUCCCCUGAGGGCUUGUUAAAAUGCAGAUUCUUGAGUCACUGGGUCUCGGGAGGGGUCGGAGGGGCCUGAAGUUCCACGUCUCUGACAAGCGCCCCAGUGAUGCCAAUGUUUUGAGUAGCCAGGGUCUUGCUGUGUUCAGGACAGCAGCUACCUACCUCCCGUGGCUGCUGGGCACCUGCAGUGCGGCUAAUGUGAGCCGAGAUGACUUUAAGUGUAAAAUACCCACCAGGUUUCAAAGACUCAGUCCAAAAAACAGAAUGUAAAAUAUCUCAAUAAUUUUUGUAUUGAUCACAUGUUAAUCUGAUCACAUGUAAUAUUUUGGAUAUA
Equus asinus (donkey) is the source of this 4769-nucleotide long non-coding RNA. The record is from Ensembl. Lineage: Eukaryota; Metazoa; Chordata; Mammalia; Perissodactyla; Equidae.